This is a long non-coding RNA of Coturnix japonica (Japanese quail), 1306 nucleotides long. Lineage: Eukaryota; Metazoa; Chordata; Aves; Galliformes; Phasianidae. The record is from Ensembl.
UCUGAGUAAAUCUGACUUGGCUAGCAACCACCCAUGUAUCUAAUGAUUCUUUUGAUCUUGCAGAUGAGAUCAAGCUCAGUGGGAUGAUAGAGGUACAGUCUGUGGGAACCAAACUUCAAGCUAUUUGAGACUUUGCCCUUCUUUUUGAAAAACCUUGAAUUUAAAAUGAAUAGAAUGAGGUAAUUUGGCACUCCUAACAACCAAGAUCAACCGGCAGAUUAAUAGCUUUGCGUAACAAAGCUUGUUUCUACCAAAUCUACAAGACACAGUACAGAAUUCGGGACUCAAUUGUCAGUGAUCUCAGCAGUCCUUCAUCUGGUUGUGCUCAGCAAACUCGGGAUUUCUACACUUGGAACUUGCUUCUGUUGUCAUCAUGUCUUUGUGUAUUUUUUUCUUUAUCAAACAUAGCUGAGAAUUAUGAGGAGAUGAGAUGGGACUAGAGCAUUUCCCUAUGGACACUGCAGUGAUCUACUGGUCAGAAUGAACUGUACAUCAGAUUCCUUUCCUUUCCUUUGCUUCUUGACUUCCAAAUUGUCUGUUAAGCAUACCAAUUUCUUUCCAUUCCUUCUGUCAUUUUCAUUUUUAUAAUGCAAAGGAGAAAAUCCACAACAUGUUCUGAUGUAUGACUGCUCUUAAUGACUUGCCUCCACUUUUUCCUUCCCUUCCUAAAGUUUGGAAACUAAACAUGAGCACACAGAAGGGCAGACACGUUUCCCUGGCUUGACUACCGGCAUUACUCUGCAAUCCUAAUGUUUGUAAAUGUAAUAUUUACAAAUAACAUCUUAUACAAUGCAUAAAAACAGUGUCUUUAGUUUCAAGGUAGAGCAGGCCCACCACAGCUUGCAGUUAGCCACCUCCUGAACAGCAAAGAAUAUGCAGUUGAGCUUUCUGCUAUGAAAAGAGAAUUUGAGAAUAGAAUCAGAGAACCACAGAAUCCAUGGAGUUGUAAGUGACUUUUAAAGGUCAUCCAGUCCAUCUCCUCUGAAAUGAACAGGGACACCUACAGCUAGAUCAGGUUGCUCAGAGCCCCAUACAGUCUCAUCUCGAACGUCUCAAAAGAUGGGGCUUCCACCACCUCUCUGGGAACCUGUCUAAUUGCCUCACCACCCUCACUGUAAAAAACUUUCUCCUUGUAUCAAUCUAAAUCUCCCUUUUUCUAGUCUGAAACCAUUUCCCCUUUUCCUAUCACCACAGACCCUGCUAAAGAGUCUGCCUUCUUCUUUCUUAUAACCCCCCUUUAGAUACUGAAAGGCUGCUAUCAGACCACCUCGCAGCCUUCUCUUCUCCAGGCUGAGCAGGGGAGGUA